RNAcentral lists this signal recognition particle RNA (97 nucleotides) under Candidatus Anaerobiospirillum merdipullorum. RNAcentral's name for it is "signal recognition particle sRNA small type". It matches the Rfam family "Bacterial small signal recognition particle RNA". From Rfam's summary of the family: The signal recognition particle (SRP) is a universally conserved ribonucleoprotein involved in the co-translational targeting of proteins to membranes. Archaeal SRP consists of a 7S RNA and homologues of the eukaryotic SRP19 and SRP54 proteins. In most bacteria, the SRP consists of a 4.5S RNA and the Ffh protein (a homologue of the eukaryotic SRP54 protein). The record is from RNAcentral. Lineage: Bacteria; Pseudomonadati; Pseudomonadota; Gammaproteobacteria; Aeromonadales; Succinivibrionaceae.
UUUCAGCCGCUUCGUACUUAAGCUUAGUUAAAUUGGUCAGGACCGGAAGGUAGCAGCCAGGAUUAAGUUUUAAGGUACCGAAGAAUAGUUGGGAAGC